Molecule: ribosomal RNA, 497 nt
Filed under: uncultured bacterium
Lineage: Bacteria
Description: partial 16S ribosomal RNA
Rfam family: Bacterial small subunit ribosomal RNA
Source: RNAcentral
GACGAACGCUGGCGGCGUGCCUAAUACAUGCAAGUUGAGCGCUGAAGGUUGGUACUUGUACCAACUGGAUGAGCAGCGAACGGGUGAGUAACGCGUGGGGAAUCUGCCUUUGAGCGGGGGACAACAUUUGGAAACGAAUGCUAAUACCGCAUAAAAACUUUAAACACAAGUUUUAAGUUUGAAAGAUGCAGUUGCAUCACUCAAAGAUGAUCCCGCGUUGUAUUAGCUAGUUGGUGAGGUAAAGGCUCACCAAGGCGAUGAUACAUAGCCGACCUGAGAGGGUGAUCGGCCACAUUGGGACUGAGACACGGCCCAAACUCCUACGGGAGGCGGCAGUAGGGAAUCUUCGGCAAUGGACGAAAGUCUGACCGAGCAACGCCGCGUGAGUGAAGAAGGUUUUCGGAUCGUAAAACUCUGUUGGUAGAGAAGAACGUUGGUGAGAGUGGAAAGCUCAUCAAGUGACGGUAACUACCCAGAAAGGGACGGCUAACUACGUG